GAAGACUCCAGAAUCCACUCUGGCUGGAAUCCGGUGGAUACAGCAGUGUUACAGAUUUCAGAAGAGCAAAGAUGAGGACUCCUACUUCAUCCUUAAUAGUUUAACUGGAUUGGAAAUCAAAAAAAUCCUGAUUCUUCUUCCACAGAAGUUUCAUUUGUCAGUGUGGGACUGCUGAGUCACCUGAAGAAGUCAUUUCAUUCUCCACGAUGCUGAUUUACAGAAAUGUUUCACAGGAACUGAUUCCUCCCAAAGGGUGAACUAGUGUGUUUCCAUAGAUUAUCUCUGUAUGAAUGUACUUCUUGAAUGAAGGCAAGUGUUUGUCCUGUUUUGUUCCUCAGGUACUGUACGUGAUAUUAAGGGCAGGCGGUCAUCACCGGGGGAAGACAAGAAGCAGACGUACUUCAAAGAGGGAGCUGCAGUGAGGACACAGCCUGGUCACUGAGGUCAGAGGAGGCACUGAAAGGUUUCCCUAAUAGUUCCUGGUGAAUCAAAGCAGAACCAUAAAGGUUGCUGGACUGCAUGAUGGCCUUACCCCUGAGCAGUCAUCCUGUUAAAGGAGGAACCAGUUAGAAGCUGUUUUCAAAGUAGCUGAGCAGAUUUCAUCUCAAUAGAUCAAAGCAGCUCGUGCUCUGUCUGCUUCCAUUCUGAUGGCAAGAAGAAGAAGAAUGCUUCAGCGAAGUGGCGUUCAUGGUCUCAGUGGACAGUCAUGGUCACACACUGCAUGUGGUUUUAAAAGCAACAUGUCUGUUCACCACAACAAUGGAGAUGUGUAAUAUUAGUGCAGCUACGGUUUGUUCUUGAACAUCAGUUCUGUUUUCUACUUUGACCACUUAGACCAAAGAAGUGUUGUUUUCAGAUUCUUUCUUAUAAAUCUGUAAAUCACCUGUUCAUUUUUAUUACAAUUAGUUUCACAUAAAUGUUAGUGUUUCCUUUAUGGUCUUUAAAUGCUUACACUAGACUGUACACGUCUACAUUAGAGACAUUUCUGUUACCUAUUUAUGAGAGUGGGCUGCUUUACUACAAUUUGGAAAUGGAUGCAAAAUCGUGCUAUUGUUUGUUUUUUAAUAUGAUUCAAUUCAAUAAAACUUUAUUGAUCCUGAAGGUUGACCCCGAGGGAAAUUUGGGUUAAGGCCAACACUGGAGGUAUCUGACUAAGCAAAGAUGAAUCUGAUCCCAUUUCUACCUGUCUCUACUGUUUCAACUGUAACUGUCAGGAUAUAUAUUUAUUCCAGCUCUCACAGGACAAAGAAAUGACUCAGACUUGUCAAAUGUUCUUUGAUUUGAUACACAAUUUGAAGUUCACAAUUUUCUUACAAAUAAAACUAUAAUGACAAACAUGAACAGCUGUGCUUAUUUCUGAGACAUGAUUUUUUUUGAACGUGUUCACAUUUAGACAGUGUACAUCUGUAUGCUGAAACUGUAAUGGUGAACCUGAGGUGAUGGUCAGCAGAAGGCAAACAUAUAUAAAUAGAAAACAAUACUGAAGUAAUGUCUUUACCCUCUGCAGCGUGUGGACGCUGUGCACACAAUCACCUUAUUCACUGUAGUAAACAUGCACCGCUAGCUCACGUGACUGACUGUCUCCAUGGUUACAUCGUAUAUUGUUAGCUAUGUAAACAGCUUCCAAAGAUACCGCCAUAGCUCUCUGCAGCUGUAACACUUUCAUGCUUUACAAAUCAUUUCACGUUUUUGAUAGUUAUGAAGACAGAAUAUGUUUUUAAAGUCAUGCUAGGCGGUUGCUAUGGUGGUUGCUGUGGACUAGGGUGGACCGCGUCCGAUUCCUGUUAUUAGCUGUCCGCCGUAGGAAGGCUGCGUUCCGUUUAGAAGUAGCGACAGUCUGCCGUAACUCGAACUCAAACCCCGCUUUGUUCUUUAAUUAAAGGGCUUUUACAGCCGUUCAUGACACGCACACACACACAUAAAGCACUUUGCCUCACCAUGAGAAUGCAACUUUACUAAAACCUUUAAAGUAUCUGAGAUAGGAUAGAAAAAUGAAGCAACCAGAGAUUUAAUGGUGAAGACUCUGGGUUCUGUAGUUCACGUUUUACAGUCCUGAAUGACUCACUGCACAUCCAUAUAAUUUAUUGAAGAGGAGUUUAAAAUGCACUUUACAUUUACACUGUUCCUGUUUAAUUUUUUACAUUGUUACUGUGUUAUGUCAUGAAUAAGGUUCACCUGCUGGGGGUUUGAUGGAUCAGCUGGACAAUACAGUCAAAGACAGACUUCAUUCAUCAUAUGCAAGAAUCCUAGUUGGAUUUUUGUUUUCACUCAUAUUUUAGAACCAAAUAUUGAAAACAACUGUGACAGACUGGAUACCUGGUCAGGGUGUACAUUACCUUUCACUCAAGCAUCCCAGGACAGAGCCCUGCCCCACCAUGAGCCUGGGUGGAUACGUGGUUAUAAUAUAAAAUGACUGAUAUUGAAUAUGAAUAUUUCAUGAAUUAUAAUACAAAUUCCUAGACAUUUGUUCCAGCAAGAGUAAUAUUGAUUACAUAUGUCUGAAUUGCUAACCCUAACCCUAGCUCAACAGACCACAAUGCCCUGGACUGUCAGUAUUAUUACAUGCUGUGAACAUAAGUAGCUUUGAUCACAGUUUAUGUUGUAAAAGAGAAGGAAUAUUAAAAAAAGAUCAACAUUGUGAUAUUAUUUCUUCCAAACUGACCAGAAACAUGCUUGUCAGACUCUCACAGCACAGGAUCAGACUCACUGUGCAUGACGGCUCAGGCCAAUAAUGUCUGUUAGAUUGUCAGUUGUUUAGUGCUUCUGUACAGUUAUGGUCACCAUCUCUAUUUCAGUAUAAUUAAUAUGCAGAAAACACUAAAAGCUGAUUGUCUUCCAAUAUUCUAGCAUAAUUAAAAAACUUUGACUUUGUUAGUACAUAUUGUUACAGUCCUAAUGCCAAUAUGAUUCUUCAUAACGCCUGCUUUGAAAUACUGAGCUUAAAAAUUGACCUGAUGAAAGAUAAUUUACAGUCUGUCAGGAUAAUUCUGACUGUAAGAUCACUGUAUUAAUCUGAAUCCUUCUGCAAUGUGCUGUGAAUGAAUGCUGAUGCAACUGACUGUGGGAAAGCUGUUAAUAAAAUGAAUCUGUGACACAUGCAACACAUUCACAGAGGAAGAGGACACAAAGGGAGGACACGCAGAGGCUGUGUUAAAGUCAGAAAUCCAAAUCUUUAGUCAAAAACAGGCGGCGGUUACAAACAGGAAGACAAGCAGUCCAUCAAACAGUCUACAGGGUCAAACAUGCAGAGAAUUCAAACAACAGUAAAAAAUAACUGAACACUGAAAAACUUAAAGCAAUGUGAGACGCAAUUAAAGGAAGCAGCGCAGUAUAUUCACUGAAUUACAAAAUUACAAAAGAGAAAAACGACAAUUUCUAAGGAUUAUUUGCUUAAUUGCAGUUAAGAGUGUGGCUGGUAAAGAUGGAAACAUACAGAAUGUAAACUGUGUGAGUUUGGUGAACUUUGUUAGUAACAAAUGAGGUAAAAAAAAA
Molecule: long non-coding RNA, 3492 nt
Organism: Oreochromis aureus
Lineage: Eukaryota; Metazoa; Chordata; Actinopteri; Cichliformes; Cichlidae
Exons: 4
Source: RefSeq, a predicted model, not a curated record